This 65-nucleotide microRNA precursor is filed under the name Microcaecilia unicolor. Its description in RNAcentral is "Mun-Mir-15-P2a_pre stem-loop". It matches the Rfam family "mir-16 microRNA precursor family", at positions 10 to 75 of the family's 82-position model. Rfam says of the family: The hairpin precursors (represented here) are predicted based on base pairing and cross-species conservation -- their extents are not known. In this case the mature sequence is excised from the 5' arm of the hairpin. The record is from RNAcentral. Lineage: Eukaryota; Metazoa; Chordata; Amphibia; Gymnophiona; Siphonopidae.
UAGCAGCACGUAAAUAUUGGAGUUGAGCCUCUCUAGAUAUCUCCAAUAUUAACUGUGCUGCUGAA